AGAGUUUUGAUCCUGGCUCAGGAUGAACGCUAGCUACAGGCUUAACACAUGCAAGUCGAGGGGCAGCAUGAGAGUAGCUUGCUACUUUUGAUGGCGACCGGCGAAUGGGUGAGUAACGCGUAUCCAACCUGCCGCACACCCGGGAAUAGCCCUUGGAAAUGAGGAUUAAGUCCCGAUAGGCACGGUAGUCGCAUGACUACUGUGUGAACCCAGGUAUGCGAUGGGGAUGCGUCCGAUUAGCUUGCCGGCGGGGUAACGGCCCACCGAGCCUGCGAUCAGUAGGGGUUCUGAGAGGAAGGUCCCCCACAUUGGAACUGAGACACGGUCCAAACUCC
RNAcentral lists this ribosomal RNA (335 nucleotides) under uncultured Bacteroidales bacterium. Its description in RNAcentral is "bacterial SSU rRNA". It matches the Rfam family "Bacterial small subunit ribosomal RNA", at positions 8 to 339 of the family's 1533-position model. Lineage: Bacteria; Pseudomonadati; Bacteroidota; Bacteroidia; Bacteroidales. The record is from RNAcentral.